RNAcentral lists this long non-coding RNA (1949 nucleotides) under Bos indicus x Bos taurus (hybrid cattle). RNAcentral's name for it is "lncRNA (ENSBIXG00005010744.1)". Lineage: Eukaryota; Metazoa; Chordata; Mammalia; Artiodactyla; Bovidae. The record is from RNAcentral.
GUGCACCCACGUAUUCCUAAUACACAGCACGCUGCCGCCGCCAUCUUCUUUCCAGCAGGCGGCCUCCAGCACUGACUUCCCUCGCUUCCACUCCACCCAACCCCUCCUGAGAAAGGCUCAGGGAAGUUCGCUUUUUCUCCAUCCCACCUGCUUAUCCAAGCACCAUCCUCUCUCGUCCGGAUGAGAGGGAUAAGACCACUUAACCAGUUAAGUGAUAGCCCCCAGCCUCUUAGCCACUGGGACGGCGGAGCCACUGAGAGCGAGCCCGGGAUCCCCAGCCCGGGGUUCAGGGUAAACAAGAUUACCUGGGGUGGCAGGAACUGGUGGAGACAGAAGGUGUUUCCAAACUUAAUCUGAAAUUAAUUAGAAAACGAAACAAGCCAAAGGACAAACAUCUGUGAGCAGAUGAUGUGCAGAGGCGAACAAAUUGGACACAUCACAUUCCGCUUGAGCUGGGAGUAGGAUCCUGCCGGGCUACAUAGGGAGUAGCCGGAGAGGCUUUCAGGGGGAGCAGUCUCAGUGUUUGCUUCUCAGGAUCAAAUGACGGAGCAGCGCCAAGCUCCAAAGACGCGGUCAGGGAGAGGGCUCUGCAGGGGAGCUGUGCGUCGGGGAGAUGAUCAUAAAAACUCAUCAGAACACACGCUGUUCAGGACCUGGGAGUGAGGAGCGGAGUGGACAUGGCAGCUCCCCUGACCAUGGGAGCAGGCUUCCUCGUGCACCCGGCAGGCUGGAAGGGGUGCCGGCACUGAGGUCCCGGAAGCACCCCUCCACUCCGUGUGCCCCCAGGUGGACUGCUCAGACACGGCCCAUGGAGGAGCCCACGGUCCCGGCUGAGCACGUGCACACGCGGGACCUGCCACUUUGGGCAUCCUCACUGGCCUCCUCACCACCCCCUCCCUUUCCCCUUCUCCACCUGCUUCCUGGGACCAGUCCCCAAACAAGCCGCUAGCACCCCAAGUCUGACCCGAGCUGGGGGCUGCUGCUAGGAAUGCAGACAGACAAGGAUGUUGGUGGCAAGCGGACGGGAUGGGCUUGGUAACCUGGAUGAGUGAGAGACACUGUGCACAGACCUGUCCCAAAGCCGGCGAGAUCCCUACGGGGACUCUGGUGGUUCCGACUCCCGUUUGGAUCAACUGCCUGGUGACCUCAUCACCGCCGUUCCCCAGAUCCACGUCAGCCCUGAAUUCGGGGACCCCCGGCACACAGGAAGCCACACUCGGAGCAUUACCUUAGCUCUGACCCCAGCAGACACCAAGCAACCCUGCCCUCUUCUUUCUAAAGAGGGAGCAGACACCCAAGGAUUCUUACCCGAGUUAACAGCUCCCCUCGCCUUGUGCAUUGCGGUCACUUGUAUCUCAGCAAGAACGAGCUGGAAGUCUGCCGAUGGAGGUGGGAGAGAAAAAUGGGUCCUGGGUCCUGCUGGUCCUAGGGCGGGGGGGGAGGGCGGCUCCAACGCCCUCCGGCCCAGCAUUUCAGGUGUCCGUGUCACCUGCCUGAGCCCCUGCUACUCCACUCGCCUGUUGGUGAGGGACAGAAAAGCUCCCUCACUAGGCUACUGUGAGGACUAUGGGAGAUGGUCAGCACCAACUUGUGGAAUUACAACCCAGAGACAGAGAUGACAGAGCACAUCAACUACACUGAGUAGAAGUUGCUCUCUCUUCCAUAAUGCUUCCUCCAUUGUUUUUUGCAUCAUAUCAAGCACAGGAAGAUACACCUGGAUCUAACACAUGUUGUAAAUCAACUAUACUCCCCUCCCCCCUAAAAAAAAAAAAAAAACCAUGAGGGUAGGAGGGGCUUUGUGGGAGCCCUCCUUUCCUCUCCUCCCACCCCUCCACCUCAUCACAGAUGCUAUUGGCGAGCAUCUGUCAUAAGCCACAUGCCCGCUCAGCAUUUUCUCACUAAAUGCUCCCCACACCACCCUCAAAAGACGAGAGCUGCCUCCCGUCCCU